This 276-nucleotide long non-coding RNA is filed under the name Solanum tuberosum (potato). RNAcentral describes it as "long non-coding RNA (STUB_LNC011601)". The record is from RNAcentral. Lineage: Eukaryota; Viridiplantae; Streptophyta; Magnoliopsida; Solanales; Solanaceae.
GUGGUUCGGUUGGGAUUGAAAGGAGUUGUUUGUAGCUGCUAGUUUAGCUUAGUUUAGUGUUACUUGCGAGUACCUAUUGCUUUUGGUACUCACCCUUGCUUCUACACAGUUGUGUAGGUUGACAACUCUAUCAGAUCCGACUUAUUACUCAUCUUCAGAUUAGAGCUUCCAGACUUACUUGAGAGGUAGCGGUUCAUUCCAGACGUGCCCUCAAGUUAUCUAUAUUUACUGUUCUGUUCUAUUCUAGAACUUUACUAUGAGACUUGUAUAUUUUAU